GUAGGGAAUAUUGGGCAAUGGGGGAAACCCUGACCCAGCAACGCCGCGUGAGGGAAGAAGGCCUAACGGUUGUAAACCUCUGUCAUAUGGGAAGAAGGAAUGACAGUACCAUAUGAGGAAGCUCCGGCUAACUACGUGCCAGCAGCCGCGGUAAUACGUAGGGAGCAAGCGUUGUCCGGAAUUACUGGGCGUAAAGGGUGCGUAGGCGGCAUGUUAAGUUAGAUGUCAAAUACCCGGGCUUAACCCGGGGACGCAUCUAAAACUGGCGUGCUUGAGUGCAGGAGAGGAAAGCGGAAUUCCUAGUGUAGCGGUGGAAUGCGUAGAUAUUAGGAGGAACACCAGUGGCGAAGGCGGCUUUCUGGACGAUGUCUGACGCUGAGGCGCGAAAGCUAGGGGAGCGAACGGGAUUAGAUACCCUAGUAGUCC
Molecule: ribosomal RNA, 426 nt
Filed under: uncultured bacterium
Lineage: Bacteria
Description: partial 16S ribosomal RNA
Rfam family: Bacterial small subunit ribosomal RNA
Source: RNAcentral